This is a long non-coding RNA of Parus major (Great Tit), 4036 nucleotides long. RefSeq lists it as uncharacterized. Lineage: Eukaryota; Metazoa; Chordata; Aves; Passeriformes; Paridae. The record is from RefSeq and is a predicted model, not a curated record. The transcript has 3 exons.
CAACUUUUUGGGUUUACUUUUCUACAGUUUGACCAGCAAUCUCAGGCUGAGAGUUUAUAGAUGCUGUCACUUAUCCAUUCUUGUUACUUUAACUUCAUCCUAAAUGAUGUUAAAUGUCUUUAUCUGGUCCACAUAAGCACGUUUGUGUUGUGUGUGUGUGUUGUUGAAUGACCCUGCCAUCUUUCCUGCUCUUUGGAAUGGCCAGUGAAAGCAUGUCUUAGGAUGGACAAGCACAGUCAAUGACAUCACUUUGGCUACCCCUUGAAAAAGAAAGCAUUUUCAGAUAUCAGCCUAUUCUUUAGGUCACACUGCAUUGGUGACGGCAUGGAGGAAGGGCUUUAGUGACGGCUUUUACAGGGAAGAGGAAACGAGAACCCAGUGCCCCAGAAUGCCCAAACUCAUCAGAGCACACAGCCUUGCCCUGAAGAUCUGCCCCUCCAGUCACCAGUGGGGUUUCCCCAUGGAAUAAUCCAGUGGCUGCUGCAGCUGUGCUAAUCAUCACAACUCCAGAACAGGAUGUACUCACAUUAAAAUCUCUUCUUAAGAAGACUUCUGUGUAGUUAAUGCAGCAGCUAGAGCUACCUACACUAUGCUGAAGAUCAGGAAUAUGUUACAGCAAAGUCUGGGGUGAGAAAUUCCCUGUUUAGGUUAGAACAUCAUCCUCAAAAUGUUCAUUCUUUAACAUCUCAAACUGUUCUAAUGAAAAAUGAUAAUGAAACUUCAUUUCUGUGUCCCCUGCAGAUGAAAGUCCUUAGGUAUGGCAUCUGUCAUUUCUGAUAAUGCUGUUUUCAAAGAAAUCAUGUGGAUAUUUUGCAAAAAAAAAUCUGGCUGGGUAAAUAGGAGCUGCUGUAUAAACAUGCAGCUGGCAUCAGAUGGAUAAACUUUUUAACAAUAACAGAAUACACAAGGAACACACACACUUAUCCAUGAAAGGAUGAAUGCUGAGUGACUUGCACAAUUCUCUUCUGAGCCAGUUUUAUGUGCAAACUGUGUAACACUCAGUAGAAACACUUGGUUUUUUUCCUCACAAAAAUGAAAGAUAGUAGCACCAGAAGAGAGCACAGCUGGAAGCUCUGGCUGCUAUUUGGUGUAAGUGUUUGGAGCGAUAACUCUGCGGUAUGCCCAGCUACCAGAUAAAUGCAGUAGGCAGAGCUCACAUUUAGUUUUGGUGUCCUUAUCAGAUGUUCUCAGUACUAGAAACAGCAUGCAUGUUUGGUUUGCUUUGGUGAAAAAGUCAGGCAAUUCAAAGUUCCUUCUGUGAAGCAAGAAGGAGAUUCUUGGUGUUCAGCUGAGUGAGCUCUGCUCUCUUCCCAGAGGCUCCCUCCCCUACUGCAGCAGGGCCAGUAGUGCUGGUGCUCUGUGGUGGGUGGAAAGCACUUUGGCUCUCUGAAGCAGAAACACAGCAAGUCUAAUUCAUCUCUUGUCCACCUCUGAAAGGAGCAGAAAAUAAAGGAUUCCUACUGCAGACCAAACAAACGCAACGUGGUUGAAGCUGCCCUUGACUUUGCACCUAGACCUCCAGGCUGCCUUGUUUUGGGCCACAGGAGGUGAAGUUUACCACAGAGCUCACUUUGUCAAUGUGGAAUGUUACCAGAAAAUUACUGAGAGAAAAAUUUAAUCCACCAGUAUUCAAAUACUACUCAAGAGAAUAAUCAUCCAAAAAUUAAAGCUUCUCCCCAAGACUCUAUUAUUCUCCAUGCCUCUCUGGACCUAUAGCAAGCGUCUCUUGCUGUGUGCACAGAAUCCAACAGAAUCCUUGUGCUGUUUCCUUAUCUUUUGUGAAAGACAUCACUUUCCAUGCAAGAAGCAUAACCUCUCCUGCAGACCACCUUAGUUACUGGAACAAUGUUUGUCUUCUCUAUGAAAAUAAUAUUUUGAUUUUUCUUCUGUAUGAGUCUGAUUUUUAUGACUCCUUUGUGAUGACUUCACAAUGUAAGAACUAAAAUAUGUAAAGGGGUAUUAACAUUUCCUAAGGUUAAAUUAACAGAUUAAUAUUUUACCUUUCCCUAGCCAGAGAAAGCUCAACUAAAUAGUCCCCCACCAGUUGUUCACUUCCCUGUCUGUCUCUGUUGAAGGGAAAAAAACCCUGUGCCUUCUUCUGUAUGGUCUCCUACUGUGUAGUUACAGCCUCCCCAACCUCAUUCUGCAUCUCUUGAUUCCGCUUUUAAGUGCCUCUUCUCAAAUCCCUUUUAAAUCCCACCUCCCUGCUACUUCCAUGAGUAAUGUAUAAGCUGCAUAGCUAAUUCAGCCUGUCUGCAUUUUCUCCAUCACCUUUACCUGUCUGACCUAACCUCUAUGAGCAAAGGACGGAAUGUGUUUAAAGAGUGUGUGUUGUUAUCUUUACCAGAAAGAGUUUAAGAAUACCUACUGUGUUACAAAAGGCAUUAAACAUACAGGUUUCCUGUGAUUGUGAGGACAGCUCCAGUAACACUUCAUGACAGAUUUGGAUGCAGAAAUCUUAGACUUUAGUACCUUUAGGGAGUGAGAGAGAUUUAAAGGUGGAAACCACUGAUGCUAAUGCAUGCCUCAGCUGAGUAUUGCUAGGACCAUAAGGAUGACAUGUUAGUUACUUACAUCCCACAUUAUUAACCAAAUCACAUUGAUCUGAUUAUUAAUCAGUGGAGAUGUCAUGCUAGCACAGAGCAAGAAAUUGCUGUUUGCAAGAAGAUGUGAUGGAGCUGCAGUUUUCCUGUGUACUUUUGACUGUGAACAAACAGGUCUAUCACUUUGCUUGCUAUAAAGUUUUUCUGGCAACUGUAAUAGAUACAGAAAAAAACUUAAACCCAAAAUGAUCUACACUUUUGCAAAGCUGUUGAAGCACUCUGAUCCCUUGUGAGGCAGUGCCACAGGGGAGCAGUCCUGGGAAGUCAGCCCUGGGUCCAAGCUGUGCACCCAAGCUUUGAUGCAAUGCAUGGAGGCUAUUAAACAUCUCCAAAACAGGCUUUACAAAAGCUGACAAUCAUGGUAGCUAAGAGGGAAGGCUGGGGAGAAUGCAUUAAGCUUAAACCCCAUGGAAUUUUAUGCUUUGCUCAGGGCCAGACUUGCAGCAAAGCAUCUCGGAGGAGCUGGCGCCGCAUCAGUGCAGAAAUUUCUGAUACAAAAAAAAAGAGGAGGAAAUCCUUCUAAUUUCCCCCUGCUCUUCUAACACCAUCCAGUGAUUAGAGCACUUAAGCUGGGUGUCAGAGACUCACUUUUUACAACUGGCAUUAGGAUUUGUGUGGCUCUGUACCGUAUAGUGAUGUCUUAGUGCCACGGGAAAUACCCUGAUCUGACAGCCUAAGGCAUGCAGGCCUCCAGGGCUAGCCGUGACUGACAGGGAGAAGAACAGCUGUGGAUUUUAUGUAUGUAUUUUUGUCACCAGGGGCAUAAAUUCCCUGUGCUGGAGACAUAAGUAUGUUAUAGACAUACAUGUAUGAGUGCUCCGUUGUGGUUUCUGCCUCAGUUGGGAGAGUCAUUGCCUGGGUUCGUAAGAUUGAGUAGAUUAGGUUCAAGACAACACCAGAGGAAAAGGGCAGAAAGAAAACAUCUCAGGGCCAUAGCUAGAAACUAGACUGUGAAAAUAGAUAAAUAAAGAGUCAAGUUUCGAUGCUCAUUUUGGUGGGGAUCUUGUCUGGAGAUCUUGGCAGGAACACACGAACAACUGUUACUCCAAAAAACAGCACCAGUUUUUCUUGUGCAGGUUUGGGGAGCAAAGAUCUGAUUCAUUGUGUGCUCUUAAUGCAGGAAAACCGAGCAGUAAAGGGCAGAGUAAGGUGUGAGAGACUGACACCCGAGACCCUGGUUUGGGAGAUCAGAAUGUGGGGGCACUGAGAACUUGGCUUGGAGACCUUGCUUGAGAGGAGGCAUCUGGUGGAAGGCAGAGGCAGAGCAGAAGGCCAGGCUGCUACAGCUGCCAGCAGUCACCCAAGUACAAUGAAUGAUCAGGGUUUAAAAUGCUUUCCUCGGCAUCCCAGGCAUUUGGAAAGGACUGUAUUUGAGGAUCUACUCUUAGCCCAUCAUCAAUUAAAACUAAGAUGUCUCUUACAAAUAUGCUAAA